Molecule: long non-coding RNA, 381 nt
Filed under: Ananas comosus (pineapple)
Lineage: Eukaryota; Viridiplantae; Streptophyta; Magnoliopsida; Poales; Bromeliaceae
Description: long non-coding RNA (ACOM_LNC026093)
Source: RNAcentral
GAUACCCCUCCACGUGCGAUCUCACGUGAAACGGUACAUAAAAUAUUACGACUUUUGCGAAUUUCCCGAUUUUCCACUCUCGACCCCUUAGCGAACAUUUCGCAUUUCCCGAAAAUCCGUCCAUCGGAUUUUCGAUCCGACAGCGCCAUCGCGUUCAGCACGACGGAGACAACAAAGCUGUGAUUUCGCUUCACCUCGAUCAACCACGGAUUCACGACACAAUCCAAUCUUCUUUCCACAUAAGAAAAUAACACCUAAAUACAUAUAAAACAUGUAUUUUUGGAUUUUCUUGAAGUUCGUGCGUCAAACUCAAAAUCCGUCAGCGGCAGUAGUUCCAGAAUAGCUGAACCGGUCGAAACGAGCUAUUGGAUCACUAUGAAC